AUUGAACGCUAGCGGGAUGCUUUACACAUGCAAGUCGAACGGCAGCGCGGACUUCGGUCUGGCGGCGAGUGGCGAACGGGUGAGUAAUGUAUCGGAACGUGCCCAGUAGCGGGGGAUAACUACGCGAAAGCGUAGCUAAUACCGCAUACGCCCUACGGGGGAAAGCAGGGGAUCGUAAGACCUUGCACUAUUGGAGCGGCCGAUAUCGGAUUAGCUAGUUGGUGAGGUAACGGCUCACCAAGCCGACGAUCCGUAGCUGGUUUGAGAGGACGACCAGCCACACUGGGACUGAGACACGGCCCAGACUCCUACGGGAGGCAGCAGUGGGGAAUUUUGGACAAUGGGGGCAACCCUGAUCCAGCCAUCCCGCGUGUGCGAUGAAGGCCUUCGGGUUGUAAAGCACUUUUGGCAGGAAAGAAACGUCGCGGGCUAAUACCCCGUGGAACUGACGGUACCUGCAGAAUAAGCACCGGCUAACUACGUG
RNAcentral lists this ribosomal RNA (484 nucleotides) under uncultured bacterium. RNAcentral's name for it is "partial 16S ribosomal RNA". It matches the Rfam family "Bacterial small subunit ribosomal RNA", at positions 30 to 507 of the family's 1533-position model. The record is from RNAcentral.